RNAcentral lists this microRNA precursor (82 nucleotides) under Theropithecus gelada (gelada). RNAcentral describes it as "mir-1233 microRNA precursor family". It matches the Rfam family "mir-1233 microRNA precursor family". The record is from Rfam by way of RNAcentral. Lineage: Eukaryota; Metazoa; Chordata; Mammalia; Primates; Cercopithecidae.
GUGAGUGGGAGGCCAGAGCAAGGCAGGGGGAGCUGCAGGGCCGUCGGAGGGGCCCCAGGGUCUGAGCCCCGUCCUCCCGCAG